This is a long non-coding RNA of Brachypodium distachyon (stiff brome), 1648 nucleotides long. RefSeq lists it as uncharacterized. The transcript has 8 exons. Lineage: Eukaryota; Viridiplantae; Streptophyta; Magnoliopsida; Poales; Poaceae. The record is from RefSeq and is a predicted model, not a curated record.
GCCUCCACCCCCACCGCCGGACUCCCCUGUCCCGGCCCCGCGCCCCUGUUCCUCCACCUUAGGCCGACAGCUCCUUGUCUCCUCCCUCUCCUCGCGGCCUGCCGCCGCCGACCGGGCUGGUUGGCCAGAUCCGCGCCGUCGAUUGUGAAGCAUAAGGGCUUAGAACAUGAUUUCGCCUUCAAUGUUUCAUUAUAAUUAUGGUGGGAUUCAGGCUAAAACGCAAAAUGUAACAUCUAAGGGCGAUUCAGAUGGUGAUAAUGAUAUCGUCAUUGUGUCAAGCUGAAACAUAGCAGAAUACCUGCCCAAAGCUACAUAGGAUCACUUUGUCUUGAUCGUAUCGGAGUUCAUAUAUAUUCCAUGGAAAUACACGAAAGAAGGAGUAACUAAACGAGCAGCUACAAGGAAUCUUUCUUUAUUCAAAGUAUAGACCUACCGGGCAGGUCACAGCUAGCCAAUCACGGUGGAGAAAAAACAAGACGACUGUUUAGAGGUUGGACAACCAUUUUUGCUCCGUGAACGUCCAACACGGACUCAGCAGUCAGCAGUGCUAGGGACGCAAGCAAAAACAGAGGAGGAAGGAGAAACGAAGGCGCGAGCAGUCGUUGAGCCGAGCAGGUCGAUCGAUGCAAUCGUCCAAGCUGCUCUGCUGCUGCCGCCGCACCGAUAAGUCAGUAGUCCACCGCGGCAUUUCCCACAUUGCAAGCGAACAAGAGCUGGAGCCUGCCGUAUGAUGAGUUGGCCGGAGUCUUGUUUGUUUAUUGCCUGCGGUUGCUGCUUCGCGGUCGGCUGGUAAUCAACAAGUGCAUUUCUGCCUUGUUGGAGUGUUGUAGGAGUAUCUUUUUUCCAAGAGAGGUCGGUCGUCGGCUCGUUGCUGGGCUAAAAACCAAUAUAACAGCAUACUGUAUUCUCGGCCUGAAUUAUUGCCAGCCUGGGGGAGGGAAGGCAUCUCUCGUUCCGAGGAAAGCACCAACCGGAUUUAUAUAACGCGCGCGGUCAGUCGUCGUCUUCGCCGGGAGUGGACAGGACAAGAGGGCAGGACGGACGCACGCACGCACGGGUAGAGGAAUCAGCAUCAGCUGACGACAACGCUCCCAGCCGCAGCCGGAGAUCCGCCAUGAGCGACGCCCAGACUGCUACUCCCGGCGGCUACUUCGUUGGCCGUCCGGUGAACUCUGACGCGCCGGAGAAAGAGCCCGUCGUCGAACAGGCCCCCGUGAACGAUAACAUCCCCGGUGACUACUUCGUCGGACCCCCGGCGAACCAGCAGCCGAAACCCGCAGCUCAGGCCGCUAAACCGAGCUUCUUAGCCCAAUGCUGCCCGUGCCUAAGCGGCGGCGCCGCUGCCAGCUAGUAGGCCGCCGACGAGCCCGGCCGGCCGUGCUGCGCGUGGCGUGGCUCCGCGGAAGAUUGAUUUGAAGUGAAAUCUGAAUCCAUGGAGCAAGUUUUUUAACUCUGUAUCGGUCGCUACGAGUUCUGUUCAUCUUUGGGAAACCGCUUGAUUUUUCUUCCUUUCCCUCCCCAAACAUUGGAUUCCCCCGUGUUCAUCAUUCCUGUACCACCCGACAAACGCAAAUUUGUCAUCUGUCUAUGUGAAAUGAUGUUGAUUUAUUUAAUUAUUUAUAUAUCGUCAUGAUGUUGAUUGCGGACU